RNAcentral lists this ribosomal RNA (202 nucleotides) under Boodlea sp. 8 FL-2009. RNAcentral's name for it is "5.8S ribosomal RNA". The stretch from base 2 to 151 matches the Rfam family "5.8S ribosomal RNA". Rfam says of the family: 5.8S ribosomal RNA (5.8S rRNA) is a component of the large subunit of the eukaryotic ribosome. It is transcribed by RNA polymerase I as part of the 45S precursor that also contains 18S and 28S rRNA. The record is from RNAcentral. Lineage: Eukaryota; Viridiplantae; Chlorophyta; Ulvophyceae; Cladophorales; Boodleaceae.
ACACUGUACAAUGGAUUUCUCGGCUCCCACAUCGAUGAAGAACGCAGCAAAGCGCGAUAGGUAGUGUGAAUUGCAGAAUACCGUGAAUCAUCGAAUUUUUGAACGCAUAUUGCGCCCGGGUUUGAGCCUGGGCAUGUCUGCCUCAGCGUCGAUUUCCUCAUGGCAAUGCCGAGAUGGUUCUUGCAAAAGUACUAUUUUGCAU